GGAGAGAUGGCCGAGAGGCUGAAGGCACAGGUUUGCUAAACCUGCAUACUCGAAAGGGUAUCGAGGGUUCGAAUCCCUCUCUCUCCGCCACUU
Molecule: transfer RNA, 93 nt
Filed under: Allostigmatella aurantiaca DW4/3-1
Lineage: Bacteria; Pseudomonadati; Myxococcota; Myxococcia; Myxococcales; Archangiaceae
Description: Stigmatella aurantiaca DW4/3-1 tRNA-Ser
Rfam family: tRNA
About the family: Transfer RNA (tRNA) molecules are approximately 80 nucleotides in length.
Source: RNAcentral